Molecule: long non-coding RNA, 1186 nt
Filed under: Homo sapiens (human)
Lineage: Eukaryota; Metazoa; Chordata; Mammalia; Primates; Hominidae
Description: HSALNT0117244
Source: RNAcentral
CAGCCAAAACAAAACCUACAAUAAAAGCGAGAGAAAAAGGUGUGCAAGAUUGCAUACUUUACGAUAGAAACCAGGUGGAGGCAACCAUGCUUUACGAUAGAAACCAGGUGGAGGCAAUCGCAUGUACAUAGCUAGAAUAAAAUAGGCAAAUGCCAUAUUAUGCAAAUAUAUUUUGGAACUCAUUGAAGACAAAGCACAAAGCAGAAUUUUAAUAUGCAAAUAAAAACUAGUUUUAUAGAAAAUAUUUGCAUGUGUGCUGAAAAGCCUACAGAUUUAUGGUGUGGUAACGGAAGAAAGCAGACCCAAUCAACUUGCUUGUGCCUCACGGAAUCCCUGGGACUGACGGAUUUCUGGCAGCUGGGUAACUGAACUACGCAGCUCGUAAGUGUGGACGUGUUUCCUGUGGAUGUCCCACUUGCCGUAUCACUCCUCCUUUUUGCAAAGUCAAUGAAGGCAUCUUGGCAGACGUGAGCCUGUGAGGGAGGCCCCCGCUGACAGGCUGUGGGCUGCUCUGAGGUAGUGGACUUCCACGAGUGGGUCCUGAAGGCUUGGCACAGCUCCCAUCUUGCCUUGAUUAGAUGCUCUCACCUGGCUGGUGCCACGGCCAGGCCGUACCUCCUCAUCGGCCUGGACACCUGCCCUCCUGGAGCUUGGCUCCCAGUGCUGCUCCUUGGAGACAAGCUCUGGUGCCCUCUUGCUGCCUCUUCCCUCUUCUGCCCCCAAAGCAGCCAGUAUUUAAGGACCCCGGCCCGAGAUGCUGCCCAUCCUUUUCCUUCCAUGGCAGGUAGGGCACUGGAACUGUACGCCCUGGAAUGGAGCUCAGAGCUCUUCAGCUGGUACCAGCAUGGUUACUUCAGGGACACAGGUGCGUGUCUGAGCCUCCUGCAGGGCCGAGGUGCUCAGCUGCCUGCUUGAAAUGCUUUGUUUACUCCUGUCUUUCCUCUUCUCUCACUCUUCUCCAGCCUUCCUGCAACCGGGGCUCCCAUCUCCAGAUCCCAUGAGGUUAUAGUAGAGAUCAUGUAAGACAGUAACAUGCAAAGGUUAGUGUCUGCCAGAGCCCAGGAAACGUGAUCCACUGUCAUUCCCCUCCAGAAGUUCUAUGGAAGCCACUGAUGACAAGCACACAUUUAUUAAUGCGUGUGCGUGAUCUCUUCCCCAGGGCUGCGUUUCUCCUGAGGAGCCUUGG